UACGGAGGGUGCGAGCGUUAAUCGGAAUUAUUGGGCGUAAAGGGUGCGUAGGUGGUUAGAUAAGACAUAGGUGAAAUACCUGGGCUCAACCUAGGGCGGCCCUAUGAGACUGUUUGACUCGAGUAUAGGAGAGGGUAGUGGAAUUUCCGGUGUAGCGGUGAAAUGCGUAGAUAUCGGAAGGAACACCGGUGGCGAAGGCGGCUACCUGGCCUGAUACUGACACUGAGGCACGAAAGCGUGGGGAGCAAACAGG
This 253-nucleotide ribosomal RNA is filed under the name uncultured bacterium. RNAcentral describes it as "partial 16S ribosomal RNA". It matches the Rfam family "Bacterial small subunit ribosomal RNA", at positions 524 to 776 of the family's 1533-position model. The record is from RNAcentral.